Molecule: ribosomal RNA, 253 nt
Filed under: uncultured bacterium
Lineage: Bacteria
Description: partial 16S ribosomal RNA
Rfam family: Bacterial small subunit ribosomal RNA
Source: RNAcentral
UACGAAGGGGGCUAGCGUUGCUCGGAAUCACUGGGCGUAAAGGGCGCGUAGGCGGCCGAUCAAGUCAGAGGUGAAAGCCCAAGGCUCAACCUUGGAAUUGCCUUUGAUACUGUUCGGCUCGAGACCGGAAGAGGUUAGUGGAACUGCGAGUGUAGAGGUGAAAUUCGUAGAUAUUCGCAAGAGCACCAGUGGCGAAGGCGGCUAACUGGUCCGGUUCUGACGCUGAGGCGCGAAAGCGUGGGGAGCAAACAGG